This 370-nucleotide ribosomal RNA is filed under the name uncultured organism. Its description in RNAcentral is "bacterial SSU rRNA". It matches the Rfam family "Bacterial small subunit ribosomal RNA", at positions 526 to 896 of the family's 1533-position model. The record is from RNAcentral.
CAGAGGGUGCGAGCGUUAAUCGGAGUUACUGGGCGUAAAGGGCGCGUAGGCGGUGAUAUGUGUGCGAUGUGAAAGCCCCGGGCUUAACCUGGGAAGCGCAUCGUAAACGGUAUGACUGGAGUAUAUGAGAGGGUGUCGGAAUUUCCGGUGUAGCGGUGAAAUGCGUAGAGAUCGGAAGGAACGUCGAUGGCGAAGGCAGGCACCUGGCAUAAUACUGACGCUGAUGCGCGAAAGCGUGGGGAGCGAACAGGAUUAGAUACCCUGGUAGUCCACGCUGUAAACGAUGAGAACUAGAUGUUUGUUGGGGAACCAAUGAGUAUCGAAGCUAACGCGAUAAGUUCUCCGCCUGGGAAGUACGGCCGCAAGGUUG